RNAcentral lists this ribosomal RNA (1031 nucleotides) under Salmonella enterica subsp. enterica serovar Typhimurium. RNAcentral's name for it is "bacterial SSU rRNA". It matches the Rfam family "Bacterial small subunit ribosomal RNA", at positions 108 to 1136 of the family's 1533-position model. The record is from RNAcentral. Lineage: Bacteria; Pseudomonadati; Pseudomonadota; Gammaproteobacteria; Enterobacterales; Enterobacteriaceae.
GAGUAAUGUCUGGGAAACUGCCUGAUGGAGGGGGAUAACUACUGGAAACGGUGGCUAAUACCGCAUAACGUCGCAAGACCAAAGAGGGGGACCUUCGGGCCUCUUGCCAUCAGAUGUGCCCAGAUGGGAUUAGCUUGUUGGUGAGGUAACGGCUCACCAAGGCGACGAUCCCUAGCUGGUCUGAGAGGAUGACCAGCCACACUGGAACUGAGACACGGUCCAGACUCCUACGGGAGGCAGCAGUGGGGAAUAUUGCACAAUGGGCGCAAGCCUGAUGCAGCCAUGCCGCGUGUAUGAAGAAGGCCUUCGGGUUGUAAAGUACUUUCAGCGGGGAGGAAGGUGUUGUGGUUAAUAACCGCAGCAAUUGACGUUACCCGCAGAAGAAGCACCGGCUAACUCCGUGCCAGCAGCCGCGGUAAUACGGAGGGUGCAAGCGUUAAUCGGAAUUACUGGGCGUAAAGCGCACGCAGGCGGUCUGUCAAGUCGGAUGUGAAAUCCCCGGGCUCAACCUGGGAACUGCAUUCGAAACUGGCAGGCUUGAGUCUUGUAGAGGGGGGUAGAAUUCCAGGUGUAGCGGUGAAAUGCGUAGAGAUCUGGAGGAAUACCGGUGGCGAAGGCGGCCCCCUGGACAAAGACUGACGCUCAGGUGCGAAAGCGUGGGGAGCAAACAGGAUUAGAUACCCUGGUAGUCCACGCCGUAAACGAUGUCUACUUGGAGGUUGUGCCCUUGAGGCGUGGCUUCCGGAGCUAACGCGUUAAGUAGACCGCCUGGGGAGUACGGCCGCAAGGUUAAAACUCAAAUGAAUUGACGGGGGCCCGCACAAGCGGUGGAGCAUGUGGUUUAAUUCGAUGCAACGCGAAGAACCUUACCUGGUCUUGACAUCCACAGAAGAAUCCAGAGAUGGAUUGGUGCCUUCGGGAACUGUGAGACAGGUGCUGCAUGGCUGUCGUCAGCUCGUGUUGUGAAAUGUUGGGUUAAGUCCCGCAACGAGCGCAACCCUUAUCCUUUGUUGCCAGCGAUUAGGUCGGGA